Long non-coding RNA from Schistocerca nitens (vagrant locust), 2744 nucleotides. RefSeq lists it as uncharacterized. The record is from RefSeq and is a predicted model, not a curated record. The transcript has 5 exons. NCBI's taxonomy places the organism in Eukaryota, Metazoa, Arthropoda, Insecta, Orthoptera, Acrididae.
AUUGCAUAGCUGCAAAUGUUGGGCUAUAGUAUUGACCUAAUGAGGGCCGCUUGCCCUUUGGUCGUUUAGUGAUGCUGUAGGGCUGCUUUACAUACUGAAUAAAAUUUGAUAGUCUCUUGGAACACUUACUGAAACCAAACCAAUUGACUCGGCGAAUUAUUUCAGAAGUUUUGGGUUUUGAUCUAAUGGAAGUAAAUAUUGUGUAGGCUGCGAUAAGUAAUCAAGCAGUGAAAGUGGGCGAAGAACUGCGUGCGACUCGGCAUGUGCUGCUCACUGGACCUCCAUCGACAGGAAGGCUUUGUACGACACAAUUCCAGGUCGCUAGAUUGACAGAGGGCCCAUUUACUGGCCCAGAAGGUCGCCGGAGAUGACGCAUUACUUUUUUCUUCGCGGUUUCGUGAAGGAUGCUGUCUAAAAGACCACGGUGCGGGACCUGCGGGCUUUCACAUCGGAGCAGCAAAUGCAAAAGUUAAUUACAUGUAGGUUCGAUGUGGGAGAAACUGAAGUAUUUCAUAGACACCAUGCGUGCUUCAGAUAGUGCACACAUUGAACUGUCAAACGGCUACGACUACAGGUGUGUGUUUCAUUAAUGUGGCUGUUGCGUAGCGGUUGGUUUGUCCAGGAAAAUGGUCGCAGUGCGAGAGAAACCUCAAUGUGUGGUCUAGUGGUGCAUGAACUCCAGGUCGACCCUAAACAGCACAAAAGAAAUUUCAGAUAACAUACAGAAAGACAUCAGUGAAGUCAGGAUCUGAGUCCAAAGAAGAAAUGUUUGCAGGAUGAUUCCAGACACCUAUAAACCAUUAUGAAUAUAUCAAUAAAUAAUAAUUUGUGAUGUCAUGAAAGAAAACUGCAAUAUCUGAUGGGGAAAGCUAUUCAGCAUGGACUACUAUGUAAAUUUGGAUGUGUUAAGUAAUAUAAAUCAAAUUUUGCAGAAGUUUGAAAAUUUUUCUGUUAUGGAUAUUUCCUAUUUUAUUUUCUAACAGGAAAGGGCAUGUUCAUUCAGCCAUAUACACAUUCAUCAGUAGGAGGCAGUCAGUUUACGUACUGAGUGAUUAUUGAGGGUACAAGAGGUGUUGGAAGAGACAGCCCACUGUCUGGAGGAUGUUGAUGGUUUGAGAAAAGCAGUUGUAGAAGUGGUAGGCUGCCUUUAAGGAUGUAUGCCUACUGAUGAGUGACAUACUGUGUAACUGAGGUAGGAAAUGUUGUAGUAGGGCUGCAGGUGAGUGCCAUCUUACUGCUGUAGCAAUGAGAUGUUAAACUGUGCCUUCUGUGUGGCUACAUAAAUUUGAUUUGAGCAUGCAUGUUUGGUUAUGUGGUUUGCUGUAUGAGGUUGUCAGACAUUCUUUGCUAAUGUCCACCACCGCUAUGAGAGGUAUGAUACCUAGCAUUGUGGAUUGGUUGAUUUUUCUUGUGUUACUGCUGUAAUGACAGUGUUCCCUUAUGGUUUUGUGUAUGACCCUUUUGAAUAGAUCACUUACUAUUCAUUUAUUUUCAGAGGAAAUGAUUGUGGCUAUAGCGGAAAUUUAUGUUACGAAGUAUGUAUUGGAAGGAACAGGAAAAACUGCAAAUAUUUGAGAACUUAUAGAACACUUAAGAUUAUAAAAGAAUAGUUGGAACAGUUGUGGCAAAAUGAUAGUACGUAUAUCUUUGAAAUGACUGGAAGGGGAUUGAGCAAGAUGAUAUUGAAUGAGGAUGAGAAGCUGUCAAAGAGUGUGAUUAAUUUGCAGGCAUGUCAUCCAUGACUUGGGAGAAUGUUUACACAGGUCAUGUGUAUCAUUUGUUUCAUUGCAUGUAAUUUCUGCAUUAUAAUGAUACGAGAUGUUGCAGAUGAAGCAGAAAAUAUAAAAUCAUGUUAUGACAUUCUAUCAGGUGAAGCUGUGUUGUGAUUUUUUUAAAGUGAAGUGGCAUGAGGAAAUUGACUGUGAUUGCUUUUGAUUAUAGGAAAAUGGUUCUUUCUCUACUAAGGUAUUGUGAUGCUUUUUCAUAAGACUGUAUCCAUCUUUUUAUGGCUGGAAGUGUCAUAGUUUGUUGCAGGACAAAUUUUUGUGCAGAGGAAAGGGGACUAUUGCCGUUGCAGCCGUGAUGUUUUAUGUAAUGUAUUGGUUGCAACAGGUGUCACGAAGAAUUAAUAUAUUUGCCUGUUGUUGAAAUGUAUAUAACGUUCAGUUCUAAACAUUUGUAUUGAUUUAUCUUUUAAUUACAGUGAGUGUAACAUGUAGAUACAUAACUUGAUAUGUCUAGUAUUAGUGGAUAUGUAACGUAUAUUACUUACAUUCAUAGUGUCAAGCUGUGAAAUACAGGUAGUUGUAGGCUGCAGAGUGAUGGACUGGAGUGUUGGAGGGAGAAGAGAUGAGAUGUAGGAUGGUUAACACAGAAUAUUUCUUGUGAUCCAUUGAAUACAGAUCAUGGAAUGGGGAGGUAGCAGUGUCUGCAGUAAUGUUAGUAAGCACAUGGAAUUGAUAUGUACUGGGGCAGAAAAUAAUAUUAUUUAAAAAGAACUUUAUUAUAUUUGGCUGAGUGUGUUGAUGAAUACAUAUUAACCCAAGCAGUUUGGUAUUUCUUCCUCUGAUGAUGAUCUAUGCAGUUAAGCUGUUUCAGCUUGUCUUACUUUAAUUAUGUUGUGCAACCAGAGUUCAGCAUUUUUGUGCUUAUGAGAAUGUAAUCAACACAGGAACAGUCCAGUGCGCAAUUCUGUUGGGAGCUGUGCCUGCACCUUUUUGCGUGACACAGAGAAAAUAUGAAGU